This 816-nucleotide unclassified non-coding RNA is filed under the name Hevea brasiliensis (rubber tree). The record is from RNAcentral. Lineage: Eukaryota; Viridiplantae; Streptophyta; Magnoliopsida; Malpighiales; Euphorbiaceae.
CCCAAUCUCAAUCCCCAAUUUCCAUUUUCGACCGUUACAAAACAAGUAAUAAAGAAGGAAAACGAACAAAUUUCAACGGUUAUGAUUAGUUGUAUAUUCAGAACGCCACCCCACGUGUACGUUCAUGAUUAACUUACAACUGUACUUUGCUGUUCAUUUCAUUCAUCAACCCUAUCUAUGGAGAAAUUUCUAUGCAUGAGUUGUGCACACUCAUUUCCCUAAUAAUAAUCAUACUCAUCAUCAACCUUAAUGCAAGUCACCGUCUCACCACUAUAAAUACUCACUCUGCUCCCUGUUUCUUUUCAGGCUCACAAUUGACAAUCUCUUCUCCUCGAUUUCGUUUGUAGAAUGGCAUACGCAAUGAUUAUUUUGCUUGCACUGCUGGUAUUGCUGGUGGGAUCCGCCAUGGGACAAUCUCCGGCACCGUCGCCCAGCCAAUCUCCAGCGACUCCACGACCGGCUGCAUCUCCUACUCCUGUUCCUCCUGUUGAACCACCUGCAACUGCUCCUUCUUCUCCUCCUCCAUCGUCAUCUUCCCCAGCUCCGUCUGGCCCUCCUUCAGCGCCCAAUCCACCAGCUGAAGUUCCUGGUCCGGCAGCAACGGGCGCCGUUUCUAGCAGACUAUCGAUGGUUGGAUUGAUAAGCGUUGGGUUAUUGGGUGCCGCUUUUGUUAUUUAGGAUGCUGCAGGGUAAUUGAUGAUGGGGUAGCUUCAAAACCCCAACCUCCUUUUUUCUGAUUAUACUUUUCUUGUAUGGAGGGAUUAUUUCUAUUUGUUUAUUGGAUAUUUAAUUUUAAAGUCAUAUAUAUUUUAUUUU